GAGUAUGGGAGGGGGAGAUGGAAUUAGUGGUGUAGGGGUAAAAUCCGUAGAUAUCACUAGGAAUACCCAAAGCGAAGGCGAUCUCCUGGAACAAUACUGACGCUAAGGCGUGAAAGCGUGGGGAGCAAACGGGAUUAGAUACCCCGGUAGUCCACGCCCUAAACGAUGUUCACUAGUCGUCGGAAUGCUUGUCAUUUCGGUGAUGCACUUAACAGGUUAAGUGAACCGCCUGGGGAGUACGGUCGCAAGAUUAAAACUCAAAGGAAUAGACGGGGACCCGCACAAGUGGUGGAGCAUGUGGUUUAAUUCGAAGAUACGCGAAGAACCUUACCUAGCCUUGACAUUGAAGAAACACACUAGAGAUAGAGUGGUGCCCUUCGGGGAAUCUGAAAACAGGUGCUGCACGGCUGUCGUCAGCUCGUGUCGUGAGAUGUUGGGUUAAGUCCCGCAACGAGCGCAACCCUCGUCCUUAGUUGCUAGCAGGUUAAGCUGAGCACUCUAAGGAGACUGCCUUCGUAAGGAGGAGGAAGGUGAGGACGACGUCAAGUCAUCAUGGCCCUUACGGCUAGGGCUACACACGUGCUACAAUGGGGCGUACAGAGUGUUGCGAUACCGCGAGGUGGAGCUAAUCACUUAAAGCGUCUCUCAGUUCGGAUUGGAGUCUGCAACUCGACUCCAUGAAGCUGGAAUCACUAGUAAUCGUAGAUCAGCAAUGCUACGGUGAAUACGUUCCCGGGUCUUGUACUCACCGCCCGUCACACCAUGGGAGUUGAUUUCACCCGAAAUUGGGAAGCUAACCUUCGGGAGGCUACCACUUACGGUG
RNAcentral lists this ribosomal RNA (823 nucleotides) under uncultured bacterium. RNAcentral's name for it is "bacterial SSU rRNA". It matches the Rfam family "Bacterial small subunit ribosomal RNA", at positions 644 to 1464 of the family's 1533-position model. The record is from RNAcentral.